This 451-nucleotide ribosomal RNA is filed under the name uncultured Rhodocyclaceae bacterium. RNAcentral describes it as "bacterial SSU rRNA". It matches the Rfam family "Bacterial small subunit ribosomal RNA", at positions 933 to 1382 of the family's 1533-position model. The record is from RNAcentral. Lineage: Bacteria; Pseudomonadati; Pseudomonadota; Betaproteobacteria; Rhodocyclales; Rhodocyclaceae.
UGGAUGAUGUGGAUUAAUUCGAUGCAACGCGAAAAACCUUUACCUACCCUUGACAUGUCCGGAAUCCCGAAGAGAUUUGGGAGUGCUCGCAAGAGAGCCGGAACACAGGUGCUGCAUGGCUGUCGUCAGCUCGUGUCGUGAGAUGUUGGGUUAAGUCCCGCAACGAGCGCAACCCUUGUCAUUAGUUGCCAUCAUUUGGUUGGGCACUCUAAUGAGACUGCCGGUGACAAACCGGAGGAAGGUGGGGAUGACGUCAAGUCCUCAUGGCCCUUAUGGGUAGGGCUUCACACGUCAUACAAUGGUCGGUACAGAGGGUUGCCAACCCGCGAGGGGGAGCUAAUCCCACAAAGCCGAUCGUAGUCCGGAUCGCAGUCUGCAACUCGACUGCGUGAAGUCGGAAUCGCUAGUAAUCGUGGAUCAGCAUGUCACGGUGAAUACGUUCCCGGGUCUU